UUGAACGCUGGCGGCAUGCUUUACACAUGCAAGUCGAACGGCAGCGCGGGCUUCGGCCUGGCGGCGAGUGGCGAACGGGUGAGUAAUACAUCGGAACGUGCCCAGUAGUGGGGGAUAGCUCGGCGAAAGCCGGAUUAAUACCGCAUACGACCUGAGGGUGAAAGCGGGGGAUCUUCGGACCUCGCGCUAUUGGAGCGGCCGAUGGCAGAUUAGCUAGUUGGUGGGGUAGAGGCCUACCAAGGCGACGAUCUGUAGCUGGUCUGAGAGGACGACCAGCCACACUGGGACUGGGACACGGCCCAGACUCCUACGGGAGGCAGCAGUGGGGAAUUUUGGACAAUGGGCGAAAGCCUGAUCCAGCAAUGCCGCGUGUGUGAUGAAGGCCUUCGGGUUGUAAAGCACUUUUGGCGGGAACGAAAAGGACUGUGCCAAUACCACGGUUCGAUGACGGUACCCGCAGAAUAAGCACCGGCUAACUACGUG
RNAcentral lists this ribosomal RNA (483 nucleotides) under uncultured bacterium. RNAcentral describes it as "partial 16S ribosomal RNA". It matches the Rfam family "Bacterial small subunit ribosomal RNA", at positions 29 to 507 of the family's 1533-position model. The record is from RNAcentral.